GAAAGCCGUAUGAGGGAAAACCUCACGUACGGUUUGAUGAGGAGGGGCUGGGAUUACCCAGCCUCUUACUCUAC
RNAcentral lists this non-coding RNA (74 nucleotides) under Paenibacillus sp. OK003. Lineage: Bacteria; Bacillati; Bacillota; Bacilli; Caryophanales; Paenibacillaceae. The record is from RNAcentral.